GGCAGAGAAACUGAGUUAGAAACAUGGAGAGAGAGAGGCAGAGAAACCUAGAGAGAGAAACAUGGAGAGAGAGAGGCAGAGAAACUUAGAGACAGAAACAUGGAGAGAGAGAGGCAGAGAAACUGAGAGAAAGAAACAUGGAGAGAGAGAGGCAGAGAAACUGAGAGAAAGAAUCAUGGAGAGAGAGAGGCAGAGAAACUAAGAGAGAAACGGGGAGAGUGAGAGGCAGAGAAACUGAGAGACAGAAACAGAGAAAGGCAGAGAAACUGAGAGACAGAAACAAAGUGAGAGAGAGGCAGAGAAACUGAGAUAGAGAAACAUGGAGAGAGAGAGGCAGAGAAACUGAGAGAUAGAAACACAGAGUGAGAGAGGCAGAGAAACUGAGAGAGAAACGGGGAGAGUGAGAGGCAGAGAAACUGAGAGACAGAAACACAGAGUGAGAGAGGCAGAGAAACAGAGAGAAACGGGGAGAGUGAGAGGCAGAGAAACUGAGAGACAGAAACAGAGAAAGGCAGAGAAACUGAGAGACAGAAACAAAGAGAGAGAGAGGCAGAGAAACUGAGAUAGAGAAACAUGGAGAGAGAGAGAGGCAGAGAAACUUAGAGAUAGAAACAUGGAGAGAGAGAGCAGAGAAACUGAGAGACAGAAACAUGGAGAGAGAGAGAGGCAGAGAAACUGAGACAGAAACAUGGAGAGAGAGAGAGGCAGAGAAACUGAGAGACAGAAACAUGGAGUCAGAGAGGCAGAGAAACUGAGAGACAGAACCAGGGAAAGAGAGAGGUAUAGAAACUGAGAGACAGAAACAGGGAGAGAGAGAGGCAGAGAAACUGAGAGAGAAACAGGGAGAGAGAGAGGUUGAGAAACUGAGAGACAGAAACAUG
RNAcentral lists this long non-coding RNA (881 nucleotides) under Salmo salar (Atlantic salmon). RNAcentral describes it as "lncRNA (ENSSSAG00000103798.1)". The record is from RNAcentral. Lineage: Eukaryota; Metazoa; Chordata; Actinopteri; Salmoniformes; Salmonidae.